UCAAACUUGGUCAUUUAGAGGAAGUAAAAGUCGUAACAAGGUUUCCGUAGGUGAACCUGCGGAAGGAUCAUUAAAGAAAUUUAAUUGAGGCGAGAUUAGAAUUAGAGAGCCAUUUGGGAAUGAGUAGUUGCUUUGGCCUGCGCUUAAUUGCGCGGCUAGCAAUUAUUAAUUCUGUUAACAGAUGGACCAACUUUCUGUUCCUAUUCUUGUUUUCUUCUACACACUGUGGAGUUUUCUACACUUUACUUCUUCUUUGGGGGAUUUCGAUUUCCCAAAGGUGACAAACACAAACAAUUUUGCAAUUUAGUUUUAUACUAGUCAAAACCAAUUUCGUUAUGAAAUACAAUAUUUAAAACUUUCAACAACGGAUCUCUUGGUUCUCGCAUCGAUGAAGAACGCAGC
Molecule: unclassified non-coding RNA, 402 nt
Filed under: uncultured fungus
Lineage: Eukaryota; Fungi
Description: partial contains small subunit ribosomal RNA, internal transcribed spacer 1, and 5.8S ribosomal RNA
Rfam family: Eukaryotic small subunit ribosomal RNA (bases 1-73)
Source: RNAcentral